Molecule: ribosomal RNA, 429 nt
Filed under: Bacillota bacterium
Lineage: Bacteria; Bacillati; Bacillota
Description: Firmicutes bacterium partial 16S ribosomal RNA
Rfam family: Bacterial small subunit ribosomal RNA
Source: RNAcentral
UAGGGAAUCUUCGGCAAUGGACGGAAGUCUGACCGAGCAACGACGCGUGAGUGAAGAAGGUUUUCGGAGCGUAAAGCUCUGUUGUUAGAGAAGAACGUUGGUAGGAGUGGAAAAUCGACCAAGUGACGGUAACUAACCAGAAAGGGACGGCUAACUAAGUGCCAGCAGCCGCGGUAAUACGUAGGUCCCGAGCGUUGUCCGGAUUGAUUGGGCGUAAAGCGAGCGCAGGCGGUUCUUUAAGUCUGAAGUUAAAGGCAGUGGCUUAACCAUUGUACGCUUUUGCAACUCGAGGACUUGCGUGCAGAAGUGGAGCUUUGACUUCCAUCUGUCGCUGUGACAUGCGUAGAUAUAUGGACGAACCCCGGUGGCGAAAGCGGCUCUCUCGUCUGUAACUGCCGCUGAGGCUCGCAAGCGUAGGGAGCAAACAGG